This 280-nucleotide long non-coding RNA is filed under the name Homo sapiens (human). RNAcentral describes it as "HSALNT0343934". Lineage: Eukaryota; Metazoa; Chordata; Mammalia; Primates; Hominidae. The record is from RNAcentral.
AUGGAGUCUCACUCUGUCGCCUAGGCUGGAGUGCAGUGGUGCGAUCUUGGCUAAUUGCAACCUUCACCUCCCGAAUUCAAGUGAUUCUCCUGCCUCAGCCUCCCAAGUAGCUGGGAUUACAGGCAUGUGACACCACGCCCGGCUAAUUUUUUUUUUUUUUUUGUAUUUUUAAUAGAGACGGGGUUUCGCCAUAUUUGCCAGGCUGGUCUGGAACUCCUGACCUUGUGAUCCGCCUGCCUCAGCCUCCCAAAGUGCUGGGAUUACCGGCGUGAGCCACCGU